Non-coding RNA from Vicia faba (fava bean), 354 nucleotides. Lineage: Eukaryota; Viridiplantae; Streptophyta; Magnoliopsida; Fabales; Fabaceae. The record is from the annotation of a GenBank genome assembly.
AUGUAUGUUUGUUUUGUGUUGAUAUGCUUAAAUUUACAAACGUACCCUGUCUGUUUUUCUUUAAAAUUUUGGAAUAUGAUGUGUGUUGUGACAUCCCUUCCGUGCAAAUUUAUUUUCUCUGAUUUUAAUUCUUGCCUUUUAUUUGGGGUAAUUAGAAGGGUGUUACAAUUGUGGUAUCAGAGCAUAGUCGGUCAGUUGUCAGGUCUUAUUUUUGUUAAUCCCUUGUAUUUGAUUGUGUGGCUAACGCGAUCAAUACUUUGUGUUGUAGAGAAGAUGGCUGGUAGAAGGAAUGAUGAUGCUUUAGCUGAGGCAUUGAGGUUGCUUGCGGGGUCAAUAAAUCAGAUGCCGCAAACG